UCCCCGGUAGCUCAACGGCAGAGCAGGAAGCUGUUAACUUCAAGGUUGCUGGUUCGAAUCCAGCCCGGGGAGCCA
RNAcentral lists this transfer RNA (75 nucleotides) under Candidatus Pacebacteria bacterium CG10_big_fil_rev_8_21_14_0_10_56_10. Its description in RNAcentral is "tRNA-Asn". It matches the Rfam family "tRNA". Rfam says of the family: Transfer RNA (tRNA) molecules are approximately 80 nucleotides in length. Their secondary structure includes four short double-helical elements and three loops (D, anti-codon, and T loops). Further hydrogen bonds mediate the characteristic L-shaped molecular structure. tRNAs have two regions of fundamental functional importance: the anti-codon, which is responsible for specific mRNA codon recognition, and the 3' end, to which the tRNAs corresponding amino acid is attached (by aminoacyl-tRNA synthetases). tRNAs cope with the degeneracy of the genetic code in two manners: having more than one tRNA (with a specific anti-codon) for a particular amino acid; and 'wobble' base-pairing, i.e. permitting non-standard base-pairing at the 3rd anti-codon position. The record is from RNAcentral. Lineage: Bacteria; Bacillati; Minisyncoccota.